Molecule: ribosomal RNA, 617 nt
Filed under: uncultured bacterium
Lineage: Bacteria
Description: bacterial SSU rRNA
Rfam family: Bacterial small subunit ribosomal RNA (bases 1-545)
Source: RNAcentral
CCUACGGGAGGCAGCAGUGGGGAAUAUUGCGCAAUGGGGGAAACCCUGACGCAGCAACGCCGCGUGAGUGAGGAAGGACUUCGGUCUGUAAAGCUCUGUUAAUGUGGAAAAAUGGCAGUUGGUCUAAUAGGCCGAUUGUUUGAUGGUACACAUAGAGGAAGCACCGGCUAACUUCGUGCCAGCAGCCGCGGUAAUACGAAGGGUGCAAGCGUUGUUCGGAUUUAUUGGGCGUAAAGCGCGCGUAGGCGGACCUGCAAGUCAGAUGUGAAAUCUCGGGGCUCAACCUCGAAACUGCGUCUGAAACUACAGGUCUAGAAUCUCGGAGGGGGAAGGGGAAUUUCGCAUGUAGGGGUAAAAUCCGUAGAUAUGCGAAGGAACACCAGAGGCGAAGGCGCCUUCCUGGACGAGUAUUGACGCUGAGGCGCGAAAGCGUGGGGAUCAAACAGGAUUAGAUACCCUGGUAGUCCACGCUGUAAACUAUGAACACUAGGUAUUGGAGGAUUUGACCCCUUCAGUGCCGUAGCUAACGCGUUAAGNGUUCCGCCUGGGAAGUCGGUCGCAGACAAACUACAAGAAGUUGAGGCUGAGACGAGACGACGACGACGACGAGGAGGAGG